UAGGGAAUCUUCGGCAAUGGACGAAAGUCUGACCGAGCAACGCCGCGUGAGUGAAGAAGGUUUCGGAUCGUAAAACUCUGUUGGUAGAGAAGAACGUUGGUGAGAGUGGAAAGCUCAUCAAGUGACGGUAACUACCCAGAAAGGGACGGCUAACUACGNGCCAG
This 164-nucleotide ribosomal RNA is filed under the name uncultured bacterium. RNAcentral's name for it is "partial 16S ribosomal RNA". It matches the Rfam family "Bacterial small subunit ribosomal RNA", at positions 355 to 511 of the family's 1533-position model. The record is from RNAcentral.